RNAcentral lists this ribosomal RNA (430 nucleotides) under uncultured Acidobacteriota bacterium. RNAcentral's name for it is "bacterial SSU rRNA". It matches the Rfam family "Bacterial small subunit ribosomal RNA", at positions 930 to 1497 of the family's 1533-position model. The record is from RNAcentral. Lineage: Bacteria; Pseudomonadati; Acidobacteriota.
CGGUGGAGCAUGUGGUUUAAUUCGACGCAACGCGAAGAACCCUACCUGGGUUAAAUCAAAGGUGCAAGGCUGAGAGAUCGCCCUAUCGCUUGAAGGUGUGACGAGCGCAACCCUUACCACUAGUUGCCAGCGGGAUGUCAAGUAUCAUGGCCUCUAUGUCCAGGCUACAUACAUGGCCGGUACAACCGUUGCAAACUCGCGAGAGGGAGCCUCGGAAAAAGCCGGUCUCAGUUCGGAUUGGAGUGCAACUCGACUCCAUGAAGUUGGAAUCGCUAGUAAUCGAAAUCAGCACGCUGCGGUGAAUACGUUCCCGGGUCUUGUACACACCGCCGUCACAUCACGAAAGUGGGCUGUACUAAAAGUGGCCGCGCUAACCGCAAGGGGGCAGGUUACACGUAUGGUUCAUGAUUGGGGUGAAGUCGUACAAGGU